RNAcentral lists this ribosomal RNA (621 nucleotides) under uncultured bacterium. RNAcentral's name for it is "bacterial SSU rRNA". It matches the Rfam family "Bacterial small subunit ribosomal RNA", at positions 839 to 1457 of the family's 1533-position model. The record is from RNAcentral.
GUGGCUUUCGGAGCUAACGCGUUAAGUAGACCGCCUGGGGAGUACGGUCGCAAGAUUAAAACUCAAAUGAAUUGACGGGGGCCCGCACAAGCGGUGGAGCAUGUGGUUUAAUUCGAUGCAACGCGAAGAACCUUACNUACUCUUGACAUCCAGAGAACUUAGCAGAGAUGCUUUGGUGCCUUCGGGAACUCUGAGACAGGUGCUGCAUGGCUGUCGUCAGCUCGUGUUGUGAAAUGUUGGGUUAAGUCCCGCAACGAGCGCAACCCUUAUCCUUGUUUGCCAGCGAGUAAUGUCGGGAACUCCAGGGAGACUGCCGGUGAUAAACCGGAGGAAGGUGGGGACGACGUCAAGUCAUCAUGGCCCUUACGAGUAGGGCUACACACGUGCUACAAUGGCGCAUACAGAGGGCAGCAAGCUAGCGAUAGUGAGCGAAUCCCAAAAAGUGCGUCGUAGUCCGGAUUGGAGUCUGCAACUCGACUCCAUGAAGUCGGAAUCGCUAGUAAUCGUGAAUCAGAAUGUCACGGUGAAUACGUUCCCGGGCCUUGUACACACCGCCCGUCACACCAUGGGAGUGGGCUGCAAAAGAAGUGGGUAGUUUAACCUUUCGGGGAGGACGCUCAC